AGGAUCAUACUUUUAAGGGUCGUUUCUAUAGUGUGUAUCUUGGCCGUUUCGUCAGCGAUUUGACAGGUUCGCAACCGCGAUGAUGAGACCGGGCCUUUUCCCCUGAGCGUGAAAUCGUUUUUACUGUGCGUGACCCCUAUGUGAAGACAGUGAUGAGCGUCCUGCGGGUAAUUUUACCCGCGGGUGGGGAGGCGGCGUUCUGAGCGGU
This is a small nucleolar RNA of Styela clava, 208 nucleotides long. RefSeq annotates it as small nucleolar RNA U3. The record is from RefSeq and is a predicted model, not a curated record. NCBI's taxonomy places the organism in Eukaryota, Metazoa, Chordata, Ascidiacea, Stolidobranchia, Styelidae.